Molecule: transfer RNA, 70 nt
Filed under: Cricetulus griseus (Chinese hamster)
Lineage: Eukaryota; Metazoa; Chordata; Mammalia; Rodentia; Cricetidae
Rfam family: tRNA
About the family: Transfer RNA (tRNA) molecules are approximately 80 nucleotides in length.
Source: Rfam by way of RNAcentral
GGAGAUGUAGCUCAGUUGAUAGAGUGCUUGCCUAACAUGCAUGAAGCUAGGGUUUGAUUCCCCAGCAUUA